AUGCGGCAGAUGGACUCAUGAUAUGGGCCUCAAUAGAGGGCUGGGUUCGCAGCUACGUAAAUCACUACUACCCAGACUCGGCCCGAGUUUGCAAUGACAGAGAACUCCAAGCCUGGUAUGCUGAGUCCAUUAACGUGGGCCAUGCAGACCUCCGCAAUGAAGAGUGGUGGCCCACAUUAGCUACUCCAGAGGAUCUCAUUUCGAUCCUCACCACCCUCAUCUGGCUAGCUUCAGCACAACAUGCUUCGCUGAAUUUCGGCCAGUACCCAUACGGUGGCUACGUCCCAAACCGGCCACCUCUCAUGCGUCGAUUAAUCCCUGAUGAAAAUGAUCCCGAAUAUGCAGUUUUUCAUGCUGAUCCGCAAAAGUAUUUCUUCUCAGCUCUACCCAGUUUGUUGCAAGCAACAAAGUUUAUGGCCGUGGUUGACACAUUAUCGACUCAUUCACCCGAUGAAGAAUACUUAGGAGAUAGACAUCAACAAUCUACCUGGACUGGGGAUGCAGUGAUUGUCGAAGCAUUCUAUGAUUUCUCAUCCGAAAUAAGGAUAAUAGAGAAGGAGAUAGAUGAGAGGAAUGCUGAUACGACACUAAGAAACAGGUGUGGUGCUGGUGUGCUACCAUAUGAACUAUUGGCACCAAGUUCUGGCCCUGGAGUAACAUGUAGAGGUGUUCCAAAUAGCGUAUCAAUAUGAGUAUAUAUAUAGUUAUGAUGCAUGUACAUAUAGUAUAGCCAAGCGUUUAUCAAGUCCACAAAAUAAUAGCGUGGACUGGUGAGUUUUCUGCGUAUAUUUUAAGAUCAAGAGGUAUGUUUGUAUCUAUAGUUUUUUGUAAGCACAUUAAAUCUAGCAAAGUCCUGUAAUAUAUGAAUAACGACAUUAAAUUUCUUUUAUAACAUGGAAUCCUGGAUUAUCCCAAAUUCCCUAUGUGCUUUAAGUUUUGAUU
Molecule: long non-coding RNA, 942 nt
Filed under: Nicotiana benthamiana
Lineage: Eukaryota; Viridiplantae; Streptophyta; Magnoliopsida; Solanales; Solanaceae
Description: long non-coding RNA (NBEN_LNC014304)
Source: RNAcentral